RNAcentral lists this ribosomal RNA (425 nucleotides) under uncultured bacterium. RNAcentral describes it as "bacterial SSU rRNA". It matches the Rfam family "Bacterial small subunit ribosomal RNA", at positions 354 to 796 of the family's 1533-position model. The record is from RNAcentral.
AGCGGGAAUAUUGCACAAUGGGCGAAAGCCUGAUGCAGCGACGCCGCGUGAGGGAUGACGGCCUUCGGGUUGUAAACCUCUGUUGGUAGGGACGAUAAUGACGGUACCUACUGAGGAAGCUCCGGCUAACUCCGUGCCAGCAGCCGCGGUAAGACGGAGGGAGCAAGCGUUGUCCGGAUUUACUGGGCGUAAAGCGCGCGUAGGCGGCCUUUUAAGUCGGCUGUGAAAGCGCUGGGCUUAACUCAGCAAGCGCAGUCGAUACUGAUCGGCUCGAGUCCGGGAGAGGAAAGCGGAAUUCCUGGUGUAGCGGUGGAAUGCGUAGAUAUCAGGAAGAACACCGGUGGCGAAGGCGGCUUUCUGGACCGGCACUGACGCUGAGGCGCGAAAGCUAGGGGAGCGAACGGGAUUAGAUACCCUAGUAGUCC